AGUCGAACGGUGAAGGCGGAGCUUGCUCUGCUGGAUCAGUGGCGAACGGGUGAGUAACACGUGAGCAAUCUGCCCCUGACUCUGGGAUAAGCGCUGGAAACGGCGUCUAAUACUGGAUACGAGCUGCGAAGGCAUCUUCAGCAGCUGGAAAGAAUUUCGGUCAGGGAUGAGCUCGCGGCCUAUCAGCUUGUUGGUGAGGUAAUGGCUCACCAAGGCGUCGACGGGUAGCCGGCCUGAGAGGGUGACCGGCCACACUGGGACUGAGACACGGCCCAGACUCCUACGGGAGGCAGCAGUGGGGAAUAUUGCACAAUGGGCGAAAGCCUGAUGCAGCAACGCCGCGUGAGGGACGACGGCCUUCGGGUUGUAAACCUCUUUUAGCAGGGAAGAAGCGAAAGUGACGGUACCUGCAGAAAAAGCGCCGGCUAACUACGUGCCAGCAGCCGCGGUAAUACGUAGGGCGCAAGCGUUAUCCGGAAUUAUUGGGCGUAAAGAGCUCGUAGGCGGUUUGUCGCGUCUGCUGUGAAACCCCGAGGCUCAACCUCGGGCCUGCAGUGGGUACGGGCAGACUAGAGUGCGGUAGAGGAGAUUGGAAUUCCUGGUGUAGCGGUGGAAUGCGCAGAUAUCAGGAGGAACACCGAUGGCGAAGGCAGAUCUCUGGGCCGUAACUGACGCUGAGGAGCGAAAGGGUGGGGAGCAAACAGGCUUAGAUACCCUGGUAGUCCACCCCGUAAACGUUGGGAACUAGUUGUGGGGUCCAUUCCACGGAUUCCGUGACGCAGCUAACGCAUUAAGUUCCCCGCCUGGGGAGUACGGCCGCAAGGCUAAAACUCAAAGGAAUUGACGGGGACCCGCACAAGCGGCGGAGCAUGCGGAUUAAUUCGAUGCAACGCGAAGAACCUUACCAAGGCUUGACAUAUACGAGAACGGGCCAGAAAUGGUCAACUCUUUGGACACUCGUAAACAGGUGGUGCAUGGUUGUCGUCAGCUCGUGUCGUGAGAUGUUGGGUUAAGUCCCGCAACGAGCGCAACCCUCGUUCUAUGUUGCCAGCACGUCAUGGUGGGAACUCAUGGAAUACUGCCGGGGUCAACUCGGAGGAAGGUGAGGAUGACGUCAAAUCAUCAUGCCCCUUAUGUCUUGGGCUUCACG
This 1150-nucleotide ribosomal RNA is filed under the name bacterium. RNAcentral's name for it is "bacterial SSU rRNA". It matches the Rfam family "Bacterial small subunit ribosomal RNA", at positions 60 to 1220 of the family's 1533-position model. The record is from RNAcentral.